This 463-nucleotide ribosomal RNA is filed under the name uncultured bacterium. RNAcentral describes it as "partial 16S ribosomal RNA". It matches the Rfam family "Bacterial small subunit ribosomal RNA", at positions 30 to 507 of the family's 1533-position model. The record is from RNAcentral.
CGAACGCUGGCGGCGUGCUUAACACAUGCAAAUCGAACGGAAAGGCCCUGCUUGCAGGGUACUCGAGUGGCGAACGGGUGAGUAACACGUGGGUGAUCUGCCCUGCACUUCGGGAUAAGCCUGGGAAACUGGGUCUAAUACCGGAUAGGAGCCAUUUUUAGUGUGAUGGUUGGAAAGUUUUUUCGGUGUAGGAUGAGCUCGCGGCCUAUCAGCUUGUUGGUGGGGUAAUGGCCUACCAAGGCGGCGACGGGUAGCCGGCCUGAGAGGGUGGACGGCCACAUUGGGACUGAGAUACGGCCCAGACUCCUACGGGAGGCAGCAGUGGGGAAUAUUGCACAAUGGGCGCAAGCCUGAUGCAGCGACGCCGCGUGGGGGAUGACGGCCUUCGGGUUGUAAACUCCUUUCGCUAGGGACGAAGCUUUUUGUGACGGUACCUAGAUAAGAAGCACCGGCUAACUACGUG